RNAcentral lists this ribosomal RNA (265 nucleotides) under uncultured bacterium. Its description in RNAcentral is "partial 16S ribosomal RNA". It matches the Rfam family "Bacterial small subunit ribosomal RNA", at positions 57 to 305 of the family's 1533-position model. The record is from RNAcentral.
GCAAGUCGAACGCGAAAGUUUUCUUCGGAAAAUGAGUAGAGUGGCGCACGGGUGAGUAACGCGUAAAUAAUCUACCCUUGCAUCUGGAAUAACUCACCGAAAGGUGUGCUAAUACCGGAUACGUUCUUUUGGUCGCGAGAUCAUUAGAAGAAAGGUGGCCUCUGAUAUAAGCUACUGUGCGGGGAGGAGCUUGCGUACCAUUAGCUAGUUGGUAGGGUAACGGCCUACCAAGGCGACGAUGGUUAGCGGGUCUGAGAGGAUGAUC